RNAcentral lists this ribosomal RNA (592 nucleotides) under uncultured bacterium. RNAcentral describes it as "bacterial SSU rRNA". It matches the Rfam family "Bacterial small subunit ribosomal RNA", at positions 338 to 950 of the family's 1533-position model. The record is from RNAcentral.
CCUACGGGAGGCAGCAGUGGGGAAUCCUGCGCAAUGGGCGAAAGCCUGACGCAGCAACGCCGCGUGCGGGAUGAAGGCCUUCGGGUUGUAAACCGCUUUUAACAGGAACGAAAAUGACGGUACCUGUAGAAUAAGGUGCGGCCAACUACGUGCCAGCAGCCGCGGUGACACGUAGGCACCAAGCGUUGUCCGGAUUUAUUGGGCGUAAAGAGCUCGUAGGCGGUUCGAUAAGUCGGGUGUGAAAACUCUGGGCUUAACCCAGAGACGCCACUCGAUACUAUUGUGACUAGAGUUCGGUAGGGGAGCGGGGAAUUCCUAGUGUAGCGGUGAAAUGCGCAGAUAUUAGGAGGAACACCGGUGGCGAAGGCGCCGCUCUGGGCCGAAACUGACACUGAGGAGCGAAAGCGUGGGUAGCAAACAGGAUUAGAUACCCUGGUAGUCCACGCCGUAAACGGUGGGCACUAGGUGUGGGCUCCAACCAACGGAGUCCGCGCCGUCGCUAACGCACUAAGUGCCCCGCCUGGGGAGUACGGCCGCAGGUUAAAACUCAAAUGAAUUGACGGCUGAGACNGCGAGAGACACGAGGAGUUAG